RNAcentral lists this ribosomal RNA (492 nucleotides) under uncultured bacterium. RNAcentral's name for it is "partial 16S ribosomal RNA". It matches the Rfam family "Bacterial small subunit ribosomal RNA", at positions 29 to 507 of the family's 1533-position model. The record is from RNAcentral.
AGUGAACGCUGGCGGUAGGCCUAACACAUGCAAGUCGAACGGCAGCACAGUAAGAGCUUGCUCUUACGGGUGGCGAGUGGCGGACGGGUGAGGAAUACAUCGGAAUCUACUUUUUCGUGGGGGAUAACGUAGGGAAACUUACGCUAAUACCGCAUACGACCUACGGGUGAAAGCAGGGGAUCUUCGGACCUUGCGCGAUUGAAUGAGCCGAUGUCGGAUUAGCUAGUUGGCGGGGUAAAGGCCCACCAAGGCGACGAUCCGUAGCUGGUCUGAGAGGAUGAUCAGCCACACGGUAACUGAGACACGGUCCAGACUCCGACGGGAGGCAGCAGUGGGGAAUAUUGGACAAUGGGCGCAAGCCGGAUCCAGCCAUACCGCGUGGGUGAAGAAGGCCUUCGGGUUGUAAAGCCCUUUUGUUGGGAAAGAAAAGCAGCAGGUUAAUACCCCGCUGUUCUGACGGUACCCAAAGAAUAAGCACCGGCUAACUUCGUG